CCCUAAAUGGUCGGUCCCUGAUGACGUAUAUUUAUUUACCCCUAUAGUGAUGACUAAGAAAAUCAAUUCACUCUAAUAGCUUUGAUCUGUCAAAUCAAUAGUACAGAUAAAUCAAAAUUGGUUAUUGUUUGAUUCUAUAUUUCUUUUUUAGCUUUUUUACAUUUUAAUGUUACUAUAUAUAUUUAUAUUUAAACAAAAUCUGUUUGUCUCUUCUUUGCCUAGAUGUUGUUGGACUAAUGUAUAUCUGUUUGUCUAGAUGCUUGUUGUUGGGCUAAUGUUUAUCUGUUUGUCUAGAUACUUGUUGUUGGGCUAAUGUUUAUCUGUUUUGUCUUUGUUU
This 337-nucleotide long non-coding RNA is filed under the name Mytilus galloprovincialis (Mediterranean mussel). The record is from RNAcentral. Lineage: Eukaryota; Metazoa; Mollusca; Bivalvia; Mytilida; Mytilidae.